RNAcentral lists this ribosomal RNA (253 nucleotides) under uncultured bacterium. RNAcentral's name for it is "partial 16S ribosomal RNA". It matches the Rfam family "Bacterial small subunit ribosomal RNA", at positions 524 to 776 of the family's 1533-position model. The record is from RNAcentral.
GACGUAGGGCGCGAGCGUUGUCCGGAUUUAUUGGGCGUAAAGAGCUCGUAGGCGGCUUGUCGCGUCGACCGUGAAAACUUGGGGCUCAACCCCAAGCCUGCGGUCGAUACGGGCAGGCUAGAGUUCGGUAGGGGAGACUGGAAUUCCUGGUGUAGCGGUGAAAUGCGCAGAUAUCAGGAGGAAUACCGAUGGCGAAGGCAGGUCUCUGGGCUGACACUGACGCUCAUGCACGAAAGCGUGGGGAGCAAACAGG